GGCUCAUCCCAUCUUCCUGUUUAUUUCUGAUGAGAGCAAUGACCGCGUCUGCACGGCGCGUCCCAGCCCUGCGUGCUCACAGCCACAUCCAGCCGGGCCCAGCUGUCCCUCGAGGGGAUGCCACGUAUCCCCCCCAGCCAUUGGGAUCCAUUGGGGUCUGGUUUUCCUCCACUCUGCGUCUCCCCAGCACGAUGGCUGUGCUCAGCCCCAGUGGCUGUGCAAAGCUUCUGUGUGGAACGAGAUUUAAAGCAGCGCAGCAAAGAGGUGAUAGAAAAACCAAACUCUAUUAAAAACCCAUUUUCUGCAGGUCUGCGCUAAGACGAUUAAGAAGAACUUUAGUGAUGGGUUUUAUAAUCCUUCCUGAAAGGGAAAUGAGCCUCCGGUUCCCUCCUCGCUGUCCUGCCCUGUCCCCAACGGGGACGCUCCCACGGUGACCCUGCACCGCUGUUCUCCCGGCACCUCUGGGCUUUGCUCAUUCCUCACUUGGCUCUGGAGCUGCUGUUGGACACAGAGGGCAGCGCUGGUGCUUCCUGCGGGCACAGGGGAUGCUCUGCGUGGUUCACAGCUGCCCGCGGGGUUGGGAUGCUUUGGCGGCAGUGCCAUCGGGUAAGCAGUGCGGAGCUGCUGGAUCCACACCGGCAGCGGUCACAGAGCAGGCUUCCCACAGCCUGUUGAGCGCAUGGCUGUGAAGGAAUUGAUCCCCGCUGUUUCAUUUAUUAGACGGUGUAAUGCCACGGAAACCGUUUCCACAAUAUCCCAAACCGAAUCAUUUAUUCUUGACAAAAAAUCCAAUAAAGAGCUCAGUCCUCCUCCAUAGGCAGAUAAAGCCCAGAUUAACGGGACUGUUUAGAUCAGAAAAAAAGAAUAAGGAGGAAAAGCCGGGAAAAUGAGGGUGGGAUGUAGAGGAGACUUCUUCCUCAUUCUCUCUUCCCCAAGGCUGCUGCGGCUCAGGAUUUUAUUACAAAAAGCCACCUAAAUAUUACAGGCUAAUCCGUAAAUCCCAGCCUAGUAAAAUAUGUGAUGGAUUUUGUAAAUUGUGCCCUUUACAAAUCUGAUUGAACUCCUUUUUCCUUGCUGGUUUGCUUUUCUUCUCCUUCCUCUCUCUCCUCCCUGGGGAUUUGCUUUACCUCAAGGACCACGAAGCCUUUUGGUGCCGCUGUCCUGGCCCUGCUGGGGAGCUGCCUAUUGCUGUGGGAUGGGUGCAUGCUGGCAGCACCGAGAAUGUGCAGUGCUCGGCCCUGGAAACAAGGCUAUCCGUUUCAAUUAGAGCAAGCAGGAAAGCUGCUAUUAAGUGCUUCGUUAUUAUGGUAAUGGAUCUACUCUGCAUGCACGGGG
Molecule: long non-coding RNA, 1335 nt
Organism: Gallus gallus (chicken)
Lineage: Eukaryota; Metazoa; Chordata; Aves; Galliformes; Phasianidae
Source: Ensembl